Molecule: ribosomal RNA, 564 nt
Filed under: Alternaria alternata
Lineage: Eukaryota; Fungi; Ascomycota; Dothideomycetes; Pleosporales; Pleosporaceae
Description: eukaryotic LSU rRNA
Rfam family: 5.8S ribosomal RNA (bases 186-339)
Source: RNAcentral
AACCUGCGGAGGGAUCAUUACACAAAUAUGAAGGCGGGCUGGAACCUCUCGGGGUUACAGCCUUGCUGAAUUAUUCACCCUUGUCUUUUGCGUACUUCUUGUUUCCUUGGUGGGUUCGCCCACCACUAGGACAAACAUAAACCUUUUGUAAUUGCAAUCAGCGUCAGUAACAAAUUAAUAAUUACAACUUUCAACAACGGAUCUCUUGGUUCUGGCAUCGAUGAAGAACGCAGCGAAAUGCGAUAAGUAGUGUGAAUUGCAGAAUUCAGUGAAUCAUCGAAUCUUUGAACGCACAUUGCGCCCUUUGGUAUUCCAAAGGGCAUGCCUGUUCGAGCGUCAUUUGUACCCUCAAGCUUUGCUUGGUGUUGGGCGUCUUGUCUCUAGCUUUGCUGGAGACUCGCCUUAAAGUAAUUGGCAGCCGGCCUACUGGUUUCGGAGCGCAGCACAAGUCGCACUCUCUAUCGAGCAAAGGUCUAGCAUCCAUUAAGCCUUUUUUUCAACUUUUGACCUCGGAUCAGGUAGGSAUACCCGMUGAACUUAAGCAUAUCAAUAAGCGGAGGAAGG